Molecule: non-coding RNA, 139 nt
Organism: Triticum urartu
Lineage: Eukaryota; Viridiplantae; Streptophyta; Magnoliopsida; Poales; Poaceae
Source: Rfam
CCUCUUGGAGAUGAGGAGUUUAGCACCCACGUGCUCAAUGGUCUUGAUGAUGAUUAUGACAAUCUCGUCGAGAAUAUUCAUGGUCGUGAGGCGCCACUUCCGCCACGAGAGCUAUAUGCACAUCUUCUUGGUCGUGAGC